RNAcentral lists this ribosomal RNA (253 nucleotides) under uncultured bacterium. RNAcentral describes it as "partial 16S ribosomal RNA". It matches the Rfam family "Bacterial small subunit ribosomal RNA", at positions 524 to 776 of the family's 1533-position model. The record is from RNAcentral.
UACGAAGGGGGCUAGCGUUGUUCGGAAUUACUGGGCGUAAAGCGCACGUAGGCGGAUAUUUAAGUCAGGGGUUAAAUCCCGCAGCUCAACUGCGGAACUGCCUUUGAUACUGGGUAUCUUGAGUAUGGAAGAGGUUAGUGGAAUUGCGAGUGUAGAAGUGAAAUUCGUAGAUAUUCGCAGGAACACCAGUGGCGAAGGCGGCUAACUGGUCCAUAACUGACGCUGAGGUGCGAAAGCGUGGGGAGCAAACAGG